This is a long non-coding RNA of Homo sapiens (human), 683 nucleotides long. The record is from Ensembl. NCBI's taxonomy places the organism in Eukaryota, Metazoa, Chordata, Mammalia, Primates, Hominidae.
CCAAAGCAUUGGGAUUACAGGGAGAAAAGAAUGGGAACUGUGAGGAAAAGAAUGACAUGAACAAUGGGAAGACCAAGGUCCCAGCACAAGUAGUAGAUGCUGAGGAAAGAAGAAGUAUGUUGUGGAGUACACGAAUCACCUGGAGAGGCUGGUGAAAAGUAGCUCUGAGUCACUAGAUCUGGCCUCUACCCCACCGUGUUCCCAGCGGGUGCAGAUGCUGCUGGUGCCAGGACCACACUGAAUUGCAUAAAUUCGCUAGAAUCAGAAGUCAGUUGUCCUGAUCUCAGAACAAUUUGGUGUGUACAAAGUCCAAGGUUUGAAAACUCAUCAAGAAGUCAGCAUCCUGCAAGAAUCAGCCACCCAUGCCACACUUUCUAUAGUAACUUCUGUUCUGCAUCAGACUACAUCACUCUGGCUUUCUGAGGGCACUAUUCCAGGCCAGUGCUCUGGGAGGAAUUACCCAGAAUCCCUGUAGAAGCCACUACUGAUGUCAGCUACAAGAGGAAGGGAACCCAAGUGGACUUCAGCCAGAACAAAGCUCUGUCACAUGUUGGAAUUUUACUGAACUUGAACAAAUUAUUCUUCAGAAAAAGUAUUUUAAAGUCAAAAGACUCCUAGAUGAUUUCUAGGUCUUUUGCAGCAUUAACUUCCUUUGAAUCAAUGCCUUCAAUGAUUAUUUAAAA